This 297-nucleotide ribosomal RNA is filed under the name Symbiodinium sp. CCMP2430. Its description in RNAcentral is "partial Bacterial small subunit ribosomal RNA". It matches the Rfam family "Bacterial small subunit ribosomal RNA", at positions 11 to 336 of the family's 1533-position model. Lineage: Eukaryota; Dinophyceae; Suessiales; Symbiodiniaceae. The record is from RNAcentral.
GUUUGAUCAUGGCUCAGAUUGAACGCUGGCGGCAGGCUUAACACAUGCAAGUCGAACGAACUCUUCGGAGUUAGUGGCAGACGGGUGAGUAACGCGUGGGAAUAUACCUUUCGGUACGGAACAACAGUUGGAAACGACUGCUAAUACCGUAUGCGCCCUAUGGGGGAAAGAUUUAUCGCCGAAGGAUUAGCCCGCGUUGGAUUAGCUAGUUGGUGGGGUAAAGGCCUACCAAGGCGACGAUCCGUAGCUGGUCUGAGAGGAUGAUCAGCCACACUGGGACUGAGACACGGCCCAGAC